AGCGAACGCUGGCGGCAGGCCUAACACAUGCAAGUCGAACGGAUCCUUCGGGAUUAGUGGCGGAUGGGUGAGUAACACGUGGGAACGUGCCCUUUGGUUCGGAACAACUCAGGGAAACUUGAGCUAAUACCGGAUGUGCCCUUCGGGGGAAAGAUUUAUCGCCAUUGGAGCGGCCCGCGUCUGAUUAGCUAGUUGGUGAGGUAACGGCCCACCAAGGCGACGAUCAGUAGCUGGUCUGAGAGGAUGAUCAGCCACACUGGGACUGAGACACGGCCCAGACUCCUACGGGAGGCAGCAGUGGGGAAUCUUGCGCAAUGGGCGAAAGCCUGACGCAGCCAUGCCGCGUGAAUGAUGAGGGUCUUAGGAUUGUAAAAUUCUUUCAGCGGGGACGAUAAUGACGGUACCCGCAGAAGAAGCUCCGGCUAACUUCGUG
RNAcentral lists this ribosomal RNA (433 nucleotides) under uncultured bacterium. RNAcentral describes it as "partial 16S ribosomal RNA". It matches the Rfam family "Bacterial small subunit ribosomal RNA", at positions 29 to 507 of the family's 1533-position model. The record is from RNAcentral.